Molecule: long non-coding RNA, 217 nt
Filed under: Nicotiana benthamiana
Lineage: Eukaryota; Viridiplantae; Streptophyta; Magnoliopsida; Solanales; Solanaceae
Description: long non-coding RNA (NBEN_LNC008581)
Source: RNAcentral
AAUCUUAUAUAAGACUGAGCAACAAGCUAUAGGCCUAAACUCCUUCACUGUUUGAGGAUUAGGAACCUUAGGUAACAAAGUGAGAGUUGCACAAUUAGUUGGUCUAUGCAUUUUGGAAGUAUGAAAGAAAUUUGACUGCUAACAUCACCUGAUUACCAAUAAUAUGCCAAGACUGAUUGAAGAACAUGGCAUUAAAACCAUCAAUGCCUGGAGCUUU